Molecule: ribosomal RNA, 406 nt
Filed under: uncultured bacterium
Lineage: Bacteria
Description: partial 16S ribosomal RNA
Rfam family: Bacterial small subunit ribosomal RNA
Source: RNAcentral
AUUGAACGCUGGCGGCAGGCCUAACACAUGCAAGUCGAACGAGUGGCGGACGGGUGAGUAAUGUCUGGGAAACUGCCUUAUGGCGGGGGAUAACUACUGGAAACGGUAGCUAAUACCGCAUACCAUUAGCUUAUCCCUGAUGGGAUUCGCUAGUUGGUGGGGUAACGGCUCACCAAGGCGACGAUCCCCAGCUGGUCUGAGAGGAUGACCAGCCACACUGGAACUGAGACACGGUCCAGACUCCUACGGGAGGCAGCAGUGGGGAAUAUUGCACAAUGGGCGCAAGCCUGAUGCAGCCAUGCCGCGUGUAUGAAGAAGGCCUUCGGGUUGUAAAGUACUUUCAGCGGGGAGGCGUUACCCGAAGAAGAAGCAACGGCUAACUCCGUGCCAGCAGCCGCGGUAAUAC